GCUCGGAUGGCGGAAUUGGUAGACGCUCAGGACUUAAAAUCCUGUGGAUAGUAAUGUCCGUGUGGGUUCGAUUCCCACUCCGAGUACCG
RNAcentral lists this transfer RNA (89 nucleotides) under Bacteroidetes bacterium 4572_77. RNAcentral's name for it is "tRNA-Leu". It matches the Rfam family "tRNA". From Rfam's summary of the family: Transfer RNA (tRNA) molecules are approximately 80 nucleotides in length. Their secondary structure includes four short double-helical elements and three loops (D, anti-codon, and T loops). Lineage: Bacteria; Pseudomonadati; Bacteroidota. The record is from RNAcentral.